This 253-nucleotide ribosomal RNA is filed under the name uncultured bacterium. Its description in RNAcentral is "partial 16S ribosomal RNA". It matches the Rfam family "Bacterial small subunit ribosomal RNA", at positions 524 to 776 of the family's 1533-position model. The record is from RNAcentral.
UACGUAGGGGGCAAGCGUUGUCCGGAUUUACUGGGCGUAAAGAGCGUGUAGGCGGCCAAACAGGUCCGUUGUGAAAACUGGAGGCUCAACCUCCAGACGUCGACGGAAACCGUGUGGCUAGAGUCCGGAAGAGGAGAGUGGAAUUCCUGGUGUAGCGGUGAAAUGCGCAGAUAUCAGGAAGAACACCCGUGGCGAAAGCGGCUCUCUGGGACGGUACUGACGCUGAGACGCGAAAGCGUGGGGAGCGAACAGG